Molecule: long non-coding RNA, 6204 nt
Organism: Symphalangus syndactylus (siamang)
Lineage: Eukaryota; Metazoa; Chordata; Mammalia; Primates; Hylobatidae
Source: RefSeq, a predicted model, not a curated record
AUAAAUUAUAAGAUAUUGUAAUUUUUUUACAACCAAAGUUCAACUUUUAUUGCAUCUCGUGGUUUUCAGUUUUCUCUUCCCUUUUAAGAGGCCCAAAAUAUUAAUGCUCUCCUUCAAUUCAUUUUCAGCUAAUAUACAUUUUUUCCCUCAAGUUCUGUUUGUUGUGUCCUGAUGCUUACAAUGUUUUCUUAAAGGUCUAAAGGAAAUGUUUUCUUCCAACAUAAUAUCCUGUGGACUGCAGAAGGUCUUUCCUUUUUUUCUCAGUAACUGGUCUGACAGAUUUUUCAUUUCAUUGAAAUAAUUCCUAUACCAUUAUUAUUUAGUUUCCUUAGGAAAAAACCUAAGUUAAGGCCAGGUGCAGUGGCUCAUUCCUGUAAUCCCAGCACUUUGGGAGGCCAAGGUGGGUGAAUCACCUGAGGUCAGGAGUUUGAGACCAGCCUGGCCAACAUGGCGAAACCCCAUCUCUACUAAAAAUACAAAAAUUAGCUAGGCAUGGUGGCACAUGCCUGUAAUCCCAGCUACUCGGGAGGCUGAGGCAGGAGAAUUGGUUGAACCUGGGAGGUGGAGGUUGCAGUGAGCUGAGACCGUGCCAUUGCAUUCCAGCCUGGGUGACAGAGCGAGACUCUGUCUCAAAAAAAAAAAAGAAAAAAGAAAAAAACUGAGUAAAAAUAUUUUUUUAAAUUAAAGUUAUUACAUCUGUGGGUCUUUCUGUAUGUGCUUUUAAAGUCCUUGUGACAUUGACUUACAGGGCUUUGACUCCUGGGUCUAUAAAGGGCACCAAAUCCUGCUAAAGCUCAAACACUGAAGAUGAGGCUUCAAUUGCCUCAUCUUCAGGCACCUAGAAGAUGCCAAUCAAAAUAAAUUGCAUUCCUGAGACACAGGGCCAGAAAUUAAAGCUAUUCAACUCCUCAAGACCCAAGGACUAUCGUGGAACAGGUGGGCAUGUGGGAUUGUAAGGGCCAAUUUUGAGAGAAAAUUAUGUUCAGUUUCUCUAUAAAUUAACCAUUAAUGUCAAAGGCACACUGAUGCAAGACCAGUAUACGCCCUGUGUCAGAUUAACAAGGUUUUCUUGAAGCAUUAUCCAACUCCUUAAUAAAGGCUCUAAAGGUUAUAAAAGGCUAAUGGAAGUUACGUCUUAUGGUCAAGAUUAAAAUUUUAUAGAUUGUUUAGAAAAUUUCAGAAAGCUAAUUUAAUUGGCUUCAUGCUGUUUUUAUUAGGGCUAAUUAUGUGGAAAAUUCACUCUCCUCUCUUAAAGAAUGCAGGUUUAUACCUUUUUUUGAAAUCCUUGAGUUACCACUUUGGUUAAAUGAAUGACUUAUUUUACAAUGAUCUGUGAUCCUAUUUUGUGAUAUCAAGUGUUUUAAACCUUUGAUAUUUGACAAACUAUCCAAAAGCAAAUUAUAAAUUAUGUCUUUUUCUGACCUAAUUAAUACUUUAAGAUAUUAAGUUCCCUAAAGUCUAAAAAUGACAUAAUUUGGCUUAUUUGCUAUAAAUAUUAUAUAGGAAGCAUUGUUACAUAUGAAAUGGUGUUUGGUUUUCUUUGGGCUGUAUUUGUAUAAAUGUUAUUAGUGUAUGUUCCAAAAUUAUGGGAAACUCCUAUAAUUCUGAUAUUACUUAGUAUGCAUUAUCAGUAAUAAUAAUUGCUAUGUUAAAUUAUUGUGUCCCACAGAGGUAACAAAUUUCCUUGUCAAUUGUGUGUUUUGACUAUGGCUGCCCUAAAAUUUUUGUCAUCCAUGGACAAUUGUUGUCUUGUUUUUGUCCUCUUUAGAAGGUGGCUAUAUAAUCAGCUAUAAAACCUGACAGGUACUCUUGAAUGCAGGGUUCUGAUAACUUUGGAGACUGAUAUCAGAAUAGAGAAAAAACUUUCAGGACUCAUGGAGAGCCAAAAUGUUCAUAAAUAUCAAGCAGAACAGGAUUUAACUGCAUGGACUGAACUAAUAGAAGACUGAAGUAAUUGUUUUUACUUUUUUCUUAAAAUGUUACUGGUUCUUUGUUUUAUUUCUCAAAGUCAAAGAAACAUUUCUUUUAAGCUAUUGGCAGCUUUUAACAAUUAAGUAUACUCCUAUGAACAAAAUUUGGAGCAUAUUUGUUUGUCUCUACCGGAUUUCUCCAGAAUUUGGAAACUAUUCAUGGGUAUUCUUAAUAUAUGUCAAUAUAGUUAUUUGCAUGAGUGCAAGAAGAAUCUGUUUUCAUUUGUAACAGGAUACAAUUAGAGAAACUGGUUAUUUUACCAAGACUUUGACUGGAAUGGUGUGCUUUCCUUUAAGGAAUCAAACUUUACUUAUACAGCCAAUGAAAGCCCCUUGGGAAAACUGGCCUCAUAUCUUGUCUACGCCAUCCCUGUACAGAAUUCCUGACCUGUGGUAAGUAAAGAAUGUCACUUUCUGACAGACCCAGCAGCCUCGAGUUAUCUUGGGACCUCAAGAGGAGAAGAAUUCACCCAACUCAUAGAUAUUUGAUGGUACACAUCCAUGGCUGGGCUUGGCUUUAAAAAAAAAUCUUAUCUGAGUUUCCUUCUAUAGAACAAACUUCCAUCAAAGUUUGUUGUACAAAAUUUAUGUAUUUAUUUAUGUAUCUAUAUAUUUAUUUAUUUUUUGAGAUGGAGUUUCACCCUUGUCACCCAUGGUGAAAUGCAAUGAAGCAAUCUUGGCUCACUGCAACUUCCACCUCCUGGGUUCAAACAAUUCUCCUGCCUCAGCCUCCCAAGUAGCUGGGACUACAGGUGCCCACCACCACACCCAGCGAAUUUUUGUAUUUUUAGUAGAGACAGGGUUUCACCAUAUUUGCCAGGCUGGUCUUGAACUCCUGAUCUCAGGUGAUCUGCCCACCUCAGCCUCCCAAAGUGCUGGGAUUACAAGCGUGAGUCACUGUGCCCCUCCCAUCAAAGUUAACUUAAAAUGCCUAUAUGAAAAAUAAUUAUUCUUGCUGCAGUUUAUACAGAUAAUUUGGCCAGGCAUAAUGAAGCAAAUGGGUCCUACCAUGAUUUGUCUUUAGUAAACCUGGGAAACUGCAGAGAGAAAAAUUAUGUUUCAAAAACUAUAGUACACCUGUUGUUAGAUUCUAGUCUUGCCGAAUGUUUUUCAAUUUUUACUAUUUUCUACAAUUUGGACUGAAUUCUAAUUUUUCCUGACUUCAAGUCUCCAAAAUAAUGUUUUCAAUUUUUCUUCUUUUUCUUUUCCCCUGCAUUUUUGCUGAUUAGUAAUCACAAAGAAUGUAGCUAUGCUUUCUUAAAGCCCCACGAACUGAAUCUAGACAACUUAAUCUUCAGAAGAAAGUAACAGCAAUCUAUUUACCUACAUAAGCCACUUUCCUACCUGCCUACAAAUGUAUGGACUUCCAAAGAAUGUGGCCUAUAUGGAUUUUCCAGGAUUGUUUAUUUGUUUGUUGUUAUUUUUCUCUCUUCCUCUCCCUAUUUUCUCUUCAAAGGACAUGCAACUUCUCAACCUUCUAAAAAUGGGAUUUCCUAAUAGCUUGCGACCUACCUAUCUAGGAAUAAACCAUUCUAGCCAUGAGAGAUCAGACAAAACCUGACACCAGAGACUCAUUUUCUUUUAAAAUUCUUUCUCUAAAAUAUUUUUAAAAGGAAAGGAGGGGGGAAAUGUGAGAGGAAAAGAAAUCUUGGGGUGCCAAAAGUCACUAAGCUAAAGGGAAGAGUCAAGCUGAGAAAUGCUUAGGAUAAUUCUGUCUCUCUCCUCACUGAGAUAAAAUACAUAUCGGAUUGCCUCCUUUGUAAAGGCUAAUCAGAAACUCAAAAGAAUGCAACGUUUUGUCUCUUACCUACCUGUGACUUGGAAGCCCCUUUCUGCUAGAGUUGUCCUGCCUUUCCAGACGGAACCAAUGUACAUCUUACAUAUAUUGAUUGAUGUCUCACAUCUCCCUAAAAUGUGUAAAAUCAAGAUGUGCCCCAACCACCUUGGACACAUGUCAUCAGAACCUCCUGAGACUGUGUCAUGACCACACAUCCUCAACCUUGGCAAAAUAAGCUUUCUAAAUUAACUGAGACCUGUCUCAGAUAUUCAGCUUCACAUAUUCAUCUCAUCUUGGCCCCCUCAGCAACAUAGCAAGAGGUAGACAAUCCAUUUUUAUUAAUGACAACAUUAAAGCAGAGAAUAUACUGUAGGAGACUGUCUCCAAUACUUUCCAGAAGUGUUUUGCCACACCAAAAUCAGUGGCAUUUACUUUUGUGAGCAGAUAAUUUAUCUGUGCUACCAACUUCACAACUGAGUGGAAAUAAAGUAAGGUAGCAGAAAAAAAAUACUCAAUCAUUUUAAUUAUGAGUUCAUGGUUACCAAUGUGCUAGGCACUAUAAAAUGAUUUUGUCAGCAAAUCUUUGCAACCCUAUGAUGCAAAUUUGUUUUUACACAUGAGGAAACUGGAUUCAGCAAGGUGAGAUGACUUGGGUCACACAGCUUGGAGCAAGUGGAACAAGAUUUUAAGCCCUGAUAUGUUUGCCUCAAGGCUUAGCUGUUUCCACUGUGAAUACUGCUCUUUAAAUUAAGACAUGAACUCAACUGAAAAUCUCCUUCUAACCCAGAGAUAUGAACCCACUAAUAAUCAUCCCCAAAGCCAUUCCUUAUUUGCUGUUUUCUAGGGUGUGGAAACCUUGGCAUUUCAGGAUCCAGUCUCUGUUUGGGAGGCAAUAUAGCCUUAGAGUUAGGCGUAUCUGCUAGAUAUAAAAUGUAAAACCAUGUAGCUUCAUUAUGUGUCAAUUUCCUUAUCACUACAUUAUUAAAUUUGUAUACUAAUAUUUACUAGGUUGCAGAAGGGAUCAAAUGGGAAAAUUUAUCUAAAGUACUUAUCAUAGUACUUGUCAUGAAGUAACUUAUUGUCUCUUAUGUAGUGCAUGGUUUUUGAGGCAUAUGUUGCUAAAUUACUCAUUUUUGGCCAGCACCUGGGUCCAAGUUAUCUGGGGCUUUGCCAUUUGGAGUGUGAUCAGAGGAACAGCAGCACUGGCCUCAUCUAGGAGCUGGUUAGAUCUACAGAAUAUCAAUCACAGUUUCUGGCCUAGGCCUAUUGAACAGAGACCUGCAAAGUAACAAGAUAUCCUCCAAAGAUUUUUUUAUGUACAUGAGAUUUUGAGAAGCACUUAAACAUAGGGUAUUUUCUCAUUAUUGGCCUCUAUAAUAGGUAAGUCAGCUUACUUCCUCACUUUCUAUCUAUCGUAUUAUCCCUCUAUGUCUCAACAGGCAUACACAUACAUACAGGCACAUACAUAUAUCUAUAUAUGUGUUUGUAUGUGAAUUUAUAUGUAUACUCAUUAUAUGUAUGCUUUGUAUCAGGCAGUAUGAUAAAAACUUAGAUUUGUUAGUGAACAAGAAAGUCUUUGCUCUCCUAGAAUUUGAUAUCACUGGAGGACAAGCACCAUGAUCAAAGGGGAAUCUCUCUGAGGGCCUAAGGUUGAACCAGGAAUAGGUAGCAGGGGGAUUCACAAGAAAGAAAGUAGACAUCCCACCCAAAAUUCAUGAAUUGGUCUUUCUACAGAGCCAGUGGUAAGGUCUGAUGAGCAGUCUCAGCCUCAUCACAUUAAAAAUUUAUUUCCAUGGGCUUGGGAAAUCCUGUGAAUCCACAGGUUGUCAGUUGAAUCAGCUCAUAAAAUAAUUCUUGAGGCAUCUUGGUCUAGAUUAAAUUCACUUUGGUGUGAGCUCAAGGGAGCCUCUAAUUGUUCCACUAGAGGAUUCAGUUUAUAGCCUCUCCUCCUAAAUUAUGCUAGGUGAAUGGAAUUAAGAAUUCUUAAAGUGAAGCUUGUUAAUUAAAGCUUAUUUAUUACCAUGCUUUGUAAUCAUACAGAUUACUAUUAUCAUUAUAUCAUAUAUUACAACUAUAUGGUAAUAUCAAUAAUUAUUAUUAGGUACUAGUAGAUUAUUAUUCAAUAGUCAAUAAUAUCGCAUUAUAAUCAUAUGUAAUUAUAAUUUAUAAUAUUAUAUUAUUCAUGCAUCCUAAUCAGAAGAUUUGUUAAUGGUUUUGAUUUUCUAUUUCAAGAUAUAAUAAAGUUUAAAGCUUGAGCUUUCCUCACAGAUGUGAUUCCUGGAUUGAUUGUUUCUGUAUUUUGUAGCCUGAUGUCUCAUCCGAGAAGUUAUUUACCAAGAGUAUACAGGAAUUCUAUCUGGACACCAUACCACCACAUGGGAGAAGUCCUUUCAUAAGCUUAUCAGAUAGCAGCUUUAUUGUGAUAUUACUUCCAUACCACACAAUUCACUCAUUUAA